Molecule: long non-coding RNA, 1318 nt
Organism: Mizuhopecten yessoensis (Yesso scallop)
Lineage: Eukaryota; Metazoa; Mollusca; Bivalvia; Pectinida; Pectinidae
Exons: 2
Source: RefSeq, a predicted model, not a curated record
UGUUUGUUGUUUCGGCCUCUUCCGGCCGCCAUUGUUACCUGAUGUUGUGUUAGGACAGAGACCGCGGAUUUGUGAUCCGUCGUUUAAUUUCUGCUUGUUGUUUCGGCCUCUUCCGGCCGCCAUUGUUACCUGAUGUUGUGUUAGGACAGAGACCUAAAGUUAAUUUAGGUCUAUGGUUAGGACUGAUUUGUUAUCAGCAGUGAGCCAUUAACUAAACCUUGGCACAGAGCAUAGAAAAAAACAUUGGAGACCAGCUGACCAGUCAAGGUAUUUUGGUCAAGUACGCCACGACUGACGGGGAUGCCGGAUGGUACUGGAGCCAAAGGCAUUGAGGAGGCCAUGCAAGCCCCUAUAUCCCAUGUGGAAGGUGGAGAGACUGGCCGACCCAACACAUUUAGGCAAGGCACAGUUCAUGAAGUCUAACAGUGCCAAGUUCAGUGAGUCCAUGUUUCCUGCCCAAACCAGACAGAUGAGAGCACAUUCCCAGAAAAAAAUCCCAGGACCUGAAAGCCCGGAGCAGUCUGAUCUUCAAGGACCUGAUGUAAAAUUACACAAUGGAAACAUGGAAUUAUUACAAAACGUUUAUCCGCUAUGCGUGCUGCUAUAUAUAUCGAAGAAAAUCUUAAUUGGACAACCCAGCCUGCAGAUGAUGAGAUGUUAGUGCUGGAACUACUGAAGAUGAAACUCGGCACCAACACAGUCCAAUCAAUGCGACUCAACACAUCUACCCAACAGAAUGAGGGAUGUCACCAGACGCUGAAUGUUUCCUUGCCAAAGUACCAGAAUUUUGGAAGAAAUGCUGAGGGACGGUUGGACAACACAAUUUAAACGUAAAUAAUACCGCGGGCAAGGCCAAUCAGCAGAAAGUACAACAUCUUGGUGGAACUCUUGAGUAAGGAGGUUCAACAUCACCUGGACGAAAUAAGCUCAGACGAAACUUAAAAGCGCCAGCGUCAGUACAAACCUGAUGUCAAAAAGAGAAAUCUUGAGUUGUUGGUGGAACAGCACAGAGAGCACGCAAACAGGUCGAAGUCUGCCAGGAAGUCUGACUACAGUAAAGGUCAACUUGAUCCAACACUGCAUCAACCCAGGGGAGACAAUCAACCUCAGGACCACAUGUAUUGAGAGAAGAAGAAAAUGACAUUUUAUUUGAGGACUUUUUGAAAUCAAUGAAAAAAAUCCAAAUUCAAGAAAUAUGUAACAAAAUAAAAUAAAAGUUACAUAUAUAUGACUACCUAAAGAGGGAACCUCCAAGUGGUGGUAGUCGGACAAUGUUGUAUCUGUGUAUACGAUAGCUAAUACAAUGUACCCUCAAAAA